RNAcentral lists this long non-coding RNA (959 nucleotides) under Parus major (Great Tit). RNAcentral's name for it is "lncRNA (ENSPMJG00000019574.1)". Lineage: Eukaryota; Metazoa; Chordata; Aves; Passeriformes; Paridae. The record is from RNAcentral.
CCAGCUUUUCAUCUGUUGCUCCCCAGCUGGGGCAAAGAGCAAGCUGUUCGGUAUCUGCACCUGCCCUGAAGAGAACUGGAAGACAGAAGGGUUACAUUGUGUUCAGGCUGCGGAGGGGAGCAUUUCCAAGCCUUAUUCAUUUGGAAAGAGAUUUCUGGGAUAUGCAGAUUCCACCCUUCUGACAUCACUGCCUCAUCUCGCCUCAUCGGUGCCUCAUGACACAACCCCUCUCCACAGCACUGAGUCAGCACCACUGUGUGAUCUCCUCUUGGCCAUGCAAGAUGGUGAAAAGCUGCCUAUAAUGGUGAAAGCAUAAAGGAACCUCUAAACAGGUCCCCAAAGGGAUUAAAAAAUUCAUGGUCAUCUUAUGAGAACCCCUCCCAGGAAAUAACAUGUGCUUGGAAAAAUUUACUGUACAGUAACACAGCAGUGUUCUAUGGGAGUGCUCCCACAGCAGAUGGAACAAUAAUUCAUACUGUGUGUUCAAAGAAAGGAGCAAGGAACACUUGCACUUCACUCUGGGAGCUUCAAAAAAGAUGCCAAGCAUCUUUUAGUUAGUUACUGCACCCCAGUAACUAACAGGUACAGGCUGAUUCUGCCUGCUGCACUCUUCUAUAGGCCUGGACUGAAAGAAUAUUUCUUAAAGCAUCCUUGGAAGUGUCCAAGGCCAAGUUGCAGCCUUGCACAUGAAGAGGGGUUUGAAACUAGAUGAUCUUUAAGGUCUCUUCCAACCCAAACUGUUCUAUGAUUCUGUGAAAGCAUCACACACAUGGAGUGCUAACCCUCCUCCCCCCCUAAAAAAGCUGUUUCCUAUUUUGGGAAAAAAAGCCCAGAACAAAACAAUCAAAUGGAAAGAAUCUGAAAUAUUCAUAUAAUGGUUGAAUUGCAAGAGGCAAUGUAAAGAGGAGUUUUAUGUUGGAAGAAACUCAGCCACAUGAAAACUAAAAUAUUGGGCCACU